UGUAUGUUACCUCAACACCAAAUACAUGACAUGUAUAUUCAGGGGUUCAUACCCUCAUCAUUAAAUUUAAAGUGUUACUUACCUCGAAUAAGCCAAAUUCAAUACCGAGCAAGCCAAUACAACAACAACAACAACAAUAUACUCGGUAAAAUCCCACUAGUUGGGUCUGGGAAAGAGUAGAGUGUACGCAGACCUUACCCCUAACCCGAAAAGGCCAGAGAGGCUGUUUUCGAGAGACUCCAGCUCAACAGGAGAGGAAAUACUAUCAAAAGUAAAAACGAGAAAAGACAUGUAGCAACAAAAGAUACCAGAAAGAAAAUAACCACAGCAAAUAAGUAAAAGAACAAUAACACAAAACUAUGCAAAACAACAAUGUGAAUAAAACAAAGAACGCUAAAAAACCUAAACGAAACUCUAUUAGACUACCCAAUACUAAGAGGGAAGAACUCUCGCCUAUCCCCUAGACUACCACCCUAAUACUCGACCUCUACAUGUUCCUAUCAAGAGCCAUAUCCUCAAAAAUCUGAAGCCUCUCCAUGUCCUACCUGAUCACCUCUCCCUAAUACUUCUUAGGCCGUCCUCUGGCUAUUCUCGUACCUGCCAAAGUCAACCGAUCACACCUCCUAAUUGGUGUAUCUAGGCUUCUCCUCCGCACGUGUCCGAACCAUAUAAGUUGCGCUUCCCACAUCUUGUCGUCCACGGGAGCUACGCCCACCUGCUCUUGAAUAUCUUCAUUCUGAAUCUUAUCCAUCCUAGUGUACCCACACAUCCAUAUUAACAUCCUCAUUUCUGCUACUUUCAUCUUCUGGAUAUGUGAAUGCUUGACUAGCCA
RNAcentral lists this long non-coding RNA (832 nucleotides) under Nicotiana benthamiana. Its description in RNAcentral is "long non-coding RNA (NBEN_LNC015340)". The record is from RNAcentral. Lineage: Eukaryota; Viridiplantae; Streptophyta; Magnoliopsida; Solanales; Solanaceae.